GAGCGUCCGUGGAAUCCAAGAAGCUUUCCUCCAUUUUUACCCUCGAGCAUGAGUUGAUUUCCAGAUGAAUUCGUCUCACCGAAUAUCGGAGAGGUUCUUCCGUAAGAGGUUUUGAAGAAUAGCGAUUUGAUCAGCACUGCCUUGUAGAGGUCAACAUGAUCGUAGCUUCCACCAACGGAUGUGAUACAUUCGUACGGAUAAUCCACCGCAAACUGUAUUUCAAUUUUUUUCCAUCAAAAACAAACAAUUUAUAAACGGGUGGAUAAAUAAUUAAGAACCAAUUGAAGAAAAACAAAGUCAAGUAGGCUAUUUUUAUUACCUCUUUCAGUUCCCCGCGAAUCGUCCCGUGUUCACGGGUUUCAAUUUUUUUGUUCUUUUCAUAUUCGAUCUUGAUAUAAGACACACAGCCAAGAUCUUUUCCAACAAUUAUUUUCUUCACACCGUCGAAAACACCAUCGUCGAAUGCAACUCCCAUGUUACCACCCAUUGCUUCAAUUUUUUCGGGUGCCGGAACUGACCAAAAAUAUGCACCAAUGGCAUCAAUAGCCUGACCAGAGCGUCCAUGGAGCCCAAGAAGCUUUCCUCCUUUUUUACCCUCGAGCAAGAAUUCUUUCCCAGCUACAUUUCCAGAUGAACCGAAUAUUGGAGAGGUUCUUCCAUAAGAAGUCUUAAAGAACAGCGAUUCGAUCAGCACUGCUUUAUAGAGGUUAACAUGACCGUAGCUUCCACCAACAGAUGUGAUACAUUCAUUCGGAUAGUCCACGGCAAACUGGAUUUCAUUUUCCAUUAGAAACAAGCAAUUUAUAUAUAUAUAUCUUUAUACACAUUUUAAAAGAGUUGGAAAGAAGAAUAGCAAAUUCACGUUAUCUAUAUUACCUCUUUUAGUUCUCCGCGAAUCGUCCCGUGUUCACGGGUUUCAGUUUUUCCGUCCUUUACGUAUUCGAUCUUGAUAUAAGAGACACAAUCAAGGUCUUUUCCGACAAUUAUUUUCUUCACACUGUCGAAAACACCAUCGUCAAAUGCAUCUCCCAUGUUACCACCCAUUGCUUCCCGCUUUUCGGGUACGGGUGCGGGGAAUGGCCAAAAAUAUGCACCAAUGGCAUCAAUAGCCUGACCAGAGCGUCCGUGGAACCCAAGAAGCUUUCCUCCAUUUCUACCCUCGAGCAAAAAUUCUUUCCCAGAGGAAUUCGUCUCACCGAAUAUUGGAGAGGUUCUUCCAUAAGAGGUUUUGAAGAAUAGCGAUUUGAUCAGCACUGCCUUAUAGAGGUCAACAUGAUCGUAGCUUCCACCAACGGCUAUGACACAUUCUUUCGGAUAAUCCACCGCAAACU
This 1331-nucleotide long non-coding RNA is filed under the name Arabidopsis lyrata. RNAcentral's name for it is "long non-coding RNA (ALYR_LNC001301)". The record is from RNAcentral. Lineage: Eukaryota; Viridiplantae; Streptophyta; Magnoliopsida; Brassicales; Brassicaceae.